UAGACUGAUGAACAUAAAUUUUAAAAAAUAUUCUCAGCUUCAAAUUAUUAUAAAACAAUGGAAAGAUUUCUUUUCUAGAAUCAAACCACACUGCAGAUUUAACAUUUACAAUAAUUUGUCUUUUUAAAAUUAUAACAAAAGUAAAACAAUGUGGUUAAACCUGAAGUCUAAUUGCAAAAUCGACAGUUCAAUUAUUUUCUUAAGAAGGUACUCAAGGCUUGUCAGUGACUCAAACUAAUUUGUUACAAGAAGAAUGAAUUUCAAAUUUCAAAAGGCUUAGUGCAGUGGAAAAGCUCUGUAUUUUACUGAAAAUAAAGAAAUUGGCAUGCAGUAAUCAUAUUAUUCUUGUCAAAACCAGGUUAACUAAACAGUUAAUGAAACCAUCCCCUGGUGAGUGGAAUGGUUGCUAGAGGCCUCCCCAUGGGUAAGAGGAGACACUGAACAAGAAGGAAGCCAGUGGAUCUCUCAGAGCAAUGAAAUUCUACCUGUCUCAGAACCCACUUAUGAUGGAACAGACCAUGUUCAGGUACACUCUGUUUACACAGUUUUAUAUAUUUUGUUAUUGCUACUAAAUUAGAAUAAGAUUUUAAAAUGUGCUUAGUAUGAAAAAUAAGAAAGCUAUCUUUGAAAACUAAAAGAAAGUGAGCAUGGAGUUGGGUGAGAAUGUACUUUUUCCUUCACAAUGAGGGGCUUUUGAGAGCAGGGAAGAAGAUAUGUCUCAUCCUCUCACUGUCUGAAGGCUCAACACGCACAAAAGCCAGAAGUGGGAUGGGGGAACUCCCAGUGUGUGUCUUUGGUGAUUUAUUCAGAAAGAAUUUUUAAAGAACUAUUAAGUGCCACACGAUAGAUGCUAUCAGUGGAAAGAAAAAAAAAUGCAUCUCCACUCUUAAGAAUAUCAGUGAAAAAUAAAUACAUGGACUAUAAAUAACACCUGUAGACUGUAGUGCAGUACCUUAAAUUUGGGGUCAGACAGACUUGGACUCUCAAACACUGACAUUGAAUUGUGAUCCCUAAUAGCUACCCAGCAUUCACACACCACUACAAGUUAAGGGAUCAUAAUGGAGUAAAUAAGAUGGUGUAAUGAUCCCCUGCCCAUCCCUGUUUAUCCAUACCCUAUGAUCAAUUGGUUGAUUCCUCUGUUAGUGAAUUUGCAAUCCAGAGGUGGCUUCUAUUAGCAUUACUCUAGUUUACAGUUUAGACUGAUACCACGUUUAACCCUUCUGACUUAAAAAUACAUGAACUUAGAAAGAUGAGUGAAACAAUGUGCCUGACUGUGAUAGCCCCAUGUAUGCUCAUGGUUAGUUGUUCUGAAAAUGGAAAAUGCAUUGCAAAGAACAUAGAAGCAAUUUAAAUCAAAGGUAGAGAAACCAGGUCAUGUCUCAAUCACAAGAGGGUGGUCUGUUUCCAUUUAUGCUGCACUUGUGGUGUGUGUAGGGUGCAGGGCAGUUGAGUUUGCCAGGCUGCCAUGCAGCCAUCUCUACAACCUGGUGAGGCUCAGACUCGCUUCUGUGCUGGAGCCAGGCCCAGGCUCUCAUUCCUACUACUCCUGACACCUCCUGACGUGCCUGUCUUCACACAGCUCUUCUGGCAGACUGAGCAGCUGCAGAUACUGGCGCUGAGUCCAUCAGAAGGUGCGGGCUGCCAAAGCACAGUUACAGGGAGGAGAGAGGCAGGGCAACCUCUGGCUGGCCUCUGACCUUUUCUGUGCUGAGCUCUAUUCCAGAGCCAGUGACCUGACAGAGCAGCGGCCCAGGCAACCAUCUUCUCCUCAUGUGAUCUCAUGAACCAGAGAUGCUUUUCCUCUACUCCCAACUCCCUUAAAAAAUCCUGACGUAUUUCUGAGCUUAAUUUGGCAAACAUUUGUGUCUGGGGAUGCGGGGGGCCCCGGACCCAGCACUUGCAGCUCUUCACCCAGGUACCUGUCCGUGUGCUGUCUAGUCAAGCUGCAGCUCUUGAAGGUUGUUUCCCAUCCCCUGGAUUAUUCCUCCUCCAUCCUAAGAAACUCAAAUAAAUCAUCAGCCAAGAGGAGAUGGGAAGUUCAUAAUAAGAGAGCAGAAAAGAGUGAAAGGAAGUCUUUAAGCAUCACCCUGCCUCCAGAAAAGGAGGAGGAAUUGGAAGAUUUGAACUGCAAGUUAGAUUUAGAAACUUUUGCCCUUCAGUUUCUUUCCAAAUAAAAUGUGAUAAUCUCCAAAAGACCUUUUAUUGAAGUCAUAAUAACUAGGCUUUCUAUAACUAUGUCAUGAAUUAAUGAAAGAUUAAAUGUUUAAUUUGCUUUUAAAUCAUCAUUAGGUUUAUUAAUAUUAAAAUUACUCUGCUCAUGAAUACCUUUUAGAUGGUUUGCUGUGACACUGUGAACUAAGGGGAAAAAUGUUAUUUGCUAAUUACUUUAGAUGACAAUUCAAUAGAUCCUCACUUUUGUUUAAAAACAGAUAAAAUAAAACCAAGAAGAUGUUCAUGGGACUACACCAGCAUUUUGGAAACCUGAAGACAGAGGUGAGUGCAACUGGCCCCGUGGAACAACUCAUGAGAAGUCUGUGGGUUUCAUAGUAACUAUCAAUCCUGCUCUCUAGAAAAGCUGUGCCACCAACAGACAUGGCACAAGGAACCAGAGAAUGAGAAGCAAAGUUUCCUGAACAGCCCUCUGGGAGGAAACCCAUAGAUCACCCAUUGCUUUUAUUUAAAAAAAAAAUUUUUGGGGGGGAGUAAGGGUACCAGGGAUUGAACUCAGGGUCACUGAACCACUGAGCCACAUCCCAGCCCUUUUUUGUAUUUUAUUUAGAGACAGGAUCUCACUGAGUUGCUUAGCAUCUCACUUUUGCUGAGGCUGGCUUUGAACUCAGGAUCCUUUUGCCUCAACCUCCUGAGCUGAUGGGAUUACAGGAAUAUGUCACCAUGCCCAUAAUCACUCAUUGCUUUUAACCUUCUCUCAAGCCAUCCAAUGAUUAACAAAUAUUUUUCUGCAGCAAAGAGUUCCCAGGCACUGCAAAGCUGGCACAUCAAAGGGCCAGGGAUUCCAAUCUGCUCACCAUCACUACUUCCUAAUCACAUCACAUCACUACCUACCUAAUCACCAACUUGAAAUCCUGGGUCUCACCAGACACCCCUGAGCAUCUUCCCCUCUUGGUCUCCACACACCGCAGUCAGCACAUUUGCUUCCAAAUGCUUCACCUUUCUCCAAAGCCACCAAGAAGGGAAUCCAACUGCCUUGCGACUGCCAGCCUGUCUUCUUGAUCAUCUGUCCUCUACCCUCUGCCCUGUACUCUUUGUAGAAAGCAGAUCUGGUUGUGCUCUUCACUUGCUUGAAACUAACUUUAAAUCAGAGCUCAGACACCUGCAGCCUGAGAGCAUCCUGUCCUGCAGGGAGUCCCAGACCUGCACUGAGAACCCCUUGGUGAGCCUUCAGAUAUGUCCUUUCCUAAACUCAUUCUAAGGCCAAUAAAUGUGGAUGUCUGGGGGCGAGAUCCAGGCACUAAGAACUUCCCAGGUGACUCUAGGGACAGCCAAGAUUCCACAGUUCUGUUCGCUGGUCAGAUGACUGAAAAAUGAGCACAAGUGUGGGAAAGUGUCUCUCCUCAGCAUGUGGCCUUUGUUUUCCUCUUCCACCACCAUCCACUGCCACCAGAAAUCCAUGCACAUCAUUGAAACAUUGAUUAUUAAUUUUCUCAUGUUUCAAAAGAUAUCAGAUGCCAAAGAUCCAAUUGCCCAUAACUCACAUUGAUAACACACUUACAUUGUCCAUACUAGCCUGCUUUUAUUAAGUUUUUAGUUAUUUCUCAUAAACCUACCUUGAAAAUUCAAGUGUAACAACUUUCAUGGAAGUAUAUGCUUUCCCCUGCCUCCUUUCACCUUUAGGAGUUCUUAUUCUCUCACUUUCUUUGAAGUUUUAUUGCAGCUGUUAGUAUUCCUAACAUUAUAUGUGUAUGUGUAUGUGUUUGUGUGUGUGUGUGUACAAAUGCAUAUAAAUGUAUAACAUUUUAGUGAUCCUUUAAUUUAACAAAAAUAUUCUGUUGAAUGUAUCUGCAUUCUGUGUAGUCUGGGAAGAGAUUAAGGAGAGAGGGAAUGGGAGAGAGAUUAGUUUUGAUGUGUUGUUUCAUAUUAUGGGAGCAGACCAUCUGAAAUCCAUGGCACUUGUGAGCAGGCUGGAAAUUUAGGAAAAAGUAGAUGCUGCAAUCUCGAGUCAAUUCCAUAAGUUAGCAGGUUGAAAACUCAGGUGAGUCUUCUAUGUUUCAGCCUUGAGAAUAAUCCUUUCUGCUUUAGGAACCUCAGUUCUUGCUCUUCAGGUUGUCAACUGAUUAGAUGAGGCCCACCUACACUAUAAAGUGUGGCCUAUGUUACUCAAAGUCAAUGAUAAUCACAGCUAAGAAGUAUUUUUCCACAUCUAGACUGAUGCUUAACCAAACAACUGGGGACCAUAACCUUGCCAGCUGGACACAUAAAAAUAGCCAUCAAAGAGUGGUGGUCCUUAAACUCACCCACUGUGCUCACUGGUUUUGACUAGAGUCAGCCUGUGGAUGUACCUGGUUGCCUUGCUCACUCUCUUGCUUAUGCACUUUUGAGAGGUCUCCAGGUUUUUGCUGCUCUGAACCUCAUUGCUACGAGCUUCAGGCACAGGCCUCCCUUGUGUGGGAUUGUCCCUGGUAUAUGUGCUGGGAAUGUGGCUGCUGGUCACAGGGCAUAUGAGAGGUCAGCCCAGGGAUCACACCCAGCUCUCUUCCUAGAAGCAGCAACAGUUGCUACAAGUGUCGAUCACAUGUGAGAUGCCCUUGGUCUAGUCUCCUUGGAGGUGUCCAGGCACUUUCUCACGGUCUCUUAGCUGUUGGUAAUAAAACCUUCAGAAGCUAUUUCAUUAUGAGGUCUAUAUUUAUUGUUAUUGAUAAUGUUACAUUCCUUUUCUGUGUUUGAUAGUCAUUUGUAUUCCUUUGUAAAAUUUAUGGUCAUAUAUUUUGGUCAUUUUUAAAUAGAUUAAUUAUAUUUUUCUUACCAAUUUGUCGGUUAUCUUUACAUAUUUUUAAUUUUCAAGUGUGUUAAUUAUAUUGAAACUCUAUUAUAUUGAAAAUAUAUUCUUAAAUUUCUAAAAUUUUUAGCUUAAGACAUCAUUUUUCACCUGGAUAAUCAAGCAUUGAUUACAUUAUUCUUGUAUCCAUUAUUUACAAAUGUAAAUGACAGUGUGUCUCUUAGUUGCUUUGGGUAUAUGGGAAAAAUUAAUCCUUGUGAAAAUAUUAUUAACAAUCACACAAAAUUGAGUACUACUUAAGUCAAACUUCAGCAAUAUGGUAAAAACUACUUAUCUUUACAUUCAAAGAAAAAUGCAUGAACUUCCUAUAACAAUAUGGGCAUAUAAUUUAAAAAACUCAUACUCACUUUACAUUAUUCUGUAGCUAGUAACAUCAUGAGAUGCUUUAAAGUCAGAAAUAUUGUACUAUUUAUAAAUACUCUGAAUAGGAAAGGAAUUAGCUGUAAAUUUUAUUCUCAAAAUUGAUCAAUAAGGAGGAAAAUACUGGUUAAGCAGACAAGAAUGUACCAAAACCAGGGUAUUACUCAUAUAUACAGAAGAUAUGAACAGUAUAGAUUUAUUUCUAGUUGAUUCAAUCCAAUUUACACAUUUAAAAUACAAAAUUACAUUUCAAUCUGUCAAGAAGCUGACCACAUUUAGCAUCAGUAGAGGAACUUGACUUGAGCUUCUGAUCAUGACCUCAAUAUCCUGGAAUAGGAAAAGGAAUUUCAUGGAAUCUAGAUGCAUUUAUCAACACCAAUUAAUAAAAAUUAAUUCUGAAAAGUAAUUCCUGAAUUUCAUCUAUUCACAAAUGAGUCAAAGGCAUUAGGACCUUAACACUUGGUAUUACUUGAUGUUGUGAACUACUCUCCUACAGUGGUUUGUUUUCAUCUCCUCCAAGGAUUGUUGCAGUUGCUGAACUAAAUGAAGUAGGGUGGCUGAGUCUGUCUGCAGAACUUUGGUGUUGCGGUCUCCAUUCUGAUUUGGGUGUAGUUUUAUAGUCACUGCUGGCUUAAUCUGUUGCCUGAGACUUCUGCUUGCCAGCUGUACAUCUAGUCACCACUCAAGGCUGUGGUAACUGGGAAGGCUGGGUGCCAAUUCACCCAGAAUAGUCCUGAUCUCUUUUCUGUUGUCCAGGUAAAGCUGAAGCAAUAAUUUGUUCAAUUCUUCAGAGAAUCCCAGAACAAAAACAGAGUCUUGGAAAUCCACUUCAGCAAUCAUGAGCUUGGAGCUCUCGGUGAGCAGGUAGGUCAACCCUUCCACACCAUGCUGGACAAUGUUGCUGCUCACGUUGAGCUUCCUGGUGGUGCCCUCAUAGACCUUGGGGAUGGUCCCUCGCCUCAGGAACUCCACCCCGAUCCACCCAAACUCCACCACCACUUCGGCACGAAAGCCAGGUGCUCCUUAUACUCUUCCGACAAGUCCAGCAGCAUCUUCGCUGGGCACCAUUUUUCACCCAGCAGCACCUGGGUCUUCCUGUUUAAGACAUCUUUGGGCAUACAGAUGUCUUUAAUGUUUUUAAAAAAUAUUUUUUUAGUUAUAGUUGGACACAAUAUUUUAUUUUAUUUAUUUAUUUUUAUGUGGUGCUGAGAAUCAAACCCAGCACCUUGCACAUGGUAGGCAAGCACUCCACCGCUGAGCUCCAGCCCCAGCCCCAGAUGUUUUUAAUUUUAUGUGCUCAAAUUACUAAUCUUUUCUCAUGUGAUCAUUUGUUUUCAUGCGUGCAUUCUUAGGAAAUAUUUUGUAAGAUCAAGUUUUAAAGUUAUCCACAAUAAUUUCCACUAAUCAUUUUAAAAUUUCCUUUUAAAAUAUUAACAUGGUUAAUAUAUCUAGAGUUGACAAUGCAUAUGGAAUGACGUAGGAAUGCAAGUGUGUAUUUUAUUUGUGGAAUGUCAAUUCCCCAGUCCCAUUUGUUAAGUGAUUCUCUCUUUUCCUACUUCUCUAUGAUGCCAUCUCCAUCAUGAAUCCAAGUUUUUCAUGUGGACAGUUCUGUUUCUGGGAUUCUUAAGAAUGUGUUGAUAAACUUGUGUUUUUAUUCUAUUGAUAAAUGAUUCUUGCUACAUCGGUUGAGAAUGUUUCCUUCCACUACAGAGUAAAAAGAAAAAAUAUGAUCAUAAGACAUCCACAUAUAUAGAAGGGUAAUAAUAGUAACCUGUGUGAUAGAGCUUUCCUUGGGAAGAAUAUAUGUUGGACAUAUUUUUUUUUUUAAUUUGUGAGUAUCAGUACACUGCUUAUAGAACCCACUCAACACUAAGUAGCCAUGAAGCAGAGACCUGUCCCCUACCGAUGGACAGCUCUCUUUCUUUCAUGACAUCUAUUCUGACCCUAUGAAAAGUCUACCCAAGUAAAACAAUUGCCACUUACUCAGCAUUAUAAAGAGAGUUGUCUAAUAGAAGAAAAAAUAGGCCUUAAUCUUCAUCAUGUGGGAUUAUGCCCCAACUUCCUUAAUAAGACUCUUACUGUACAAGAAUUAAAACCAAGAAUCAAACUAUAAAGUUUAUUUUCAGCAAAAGAAACAAUCUGUGAGGUGAACAGAGAGCCUACAUCCUGGGAGCAAAUUUUUACACCUCACAUAUCAGAUAGUGCACUAAUCUCUAGGGUUCAUAAAUAACUCAAAAAGCUAAACACUGAAAAAACAAAUAACCCAAUCAACAAGUGGGCUAAGGACCUGAACAGACACUUCUCAGAAGAGGAUAUACAAUCAAUCAAUAAAUAUAAGAAAAAAUGCUCAUCAUCUCUAGCAAUCAGAGAAAUGCAAAUCAAAACCACUUUAAGAUAUCAUCUCACUCCAGUCAGAAUGGCAGCUAUUAUGAAGACAAACAACAAUAAGUGUUGGUGAGGAUGUGGGGAAAAAGGUACACUCAUACAUUGCUGGUGGGACUGCAAAUUGGUGCAGACAAUAUAGAAAACAGUAUGGAGGUAUGGAAGCACCACUUGACCCAGCUAUUCCUCUCCUCGGACUAUAUCCAAAAGACUUAAAAACAGCAUACUACAGGGACACAGCCACAUCAAUGUUUAUAGCAGCACAAUUCACAAUAGCUAAAGGAGGAGAAGGCAGGGAUGUGGGGAUAAGAAAGAUAGUAGAAUGAAAUAGACGUGAGCCAACCUAGAUGUCCUUCAGUGGAUGAAUGGAUAAAAAAAAUGUGGCAUAUGUACACAAUGGAAUUUUACUUAGCAUUAAAAGAGAAUAAAACCAUGGCAUUUGCAUGUAAAUGGAUGGCACUGGAGAAGAUAAUGCUAAGUGAAGUUAGUCAAUCCCCAAAAAACAAAUACUGAAUGUUUUCUCUGAUGUAAGAAGGUUGGCUCAUGGUGGGGUUGGGAGGGAGAGCAUGGGAGAAAUAGGGUAGAGGGGUGAGAGAGAAAGGGAGGGGGCAGGGGAUUAGCAAGGAUGGUGAAAUGUGAUGUAUGAAGACUUGAAUUGGGUGUCAACAUACUUUAUAUACAAACAGAACUACAAAAAUUGUGGUAUAUAUGUGUAUUAAGAAUUGUAAUGCAAAAAAAAAAAAUAGCGUUACCUUAGGUAGAGGGAAGUGAAAGGAGGGGAAGGCAGGGGAUAUGGGGAUAAGAAACAUAGUAGAAUGAAACAGACAUUAUAUAUAUGUGACUGUAUAACCAAUGUGAUUCUACAAUAUGUACACUCAGAAAAAGAGAAAUUAUAUCCCAUCUACGUAUGAUACAUCAAAGUAUGUAAGUGCAUUCUACUGUCAUGUAUAACUAAUUAAAACAAAUUAAAAAUUAAAAAAAGAGAGAAUUGUGGCUUUGACCAAUAGUGUUGCCCCUGCAUCUCCCAAAAGAGCAAGAGUGCAUGGCUCUUGGAAAACUCCCUCUGCUGAGAAGCCUUGCUUACCUUCAGUCUGGUCCUCACAACUAACCUCUUACACUGUUACAGAGAAAGCCUAAUGUGUGCAUGGGAGUGGGUAUGUCAUGAGGAAUAGAACAUUCAGACAUUAAGAUUGUAUAUUGCUUCCAUUCUGCAUUCUUCUUGCACACUACCCUAGUGUGUAAUUUUGCAAUGCAUUUCCUCUUGCAUUUUACUGAACAUUUUUAAAUUCUUCAAAAACUCUGUGAUUCUAGAAUGCUGAGUUGUUUUGUGAGCCUCUGUGUUUUCAUGCAAAAUGGAAUGUCUAAUUGAUAGGAGGUUGCUGUUACAUCAAAGUAGUUUUAUACUUAAUGUAAUUCCUACAUCUGAACCAGCAUUAUACUGUUUUAUUCAGAACAACUUUAUAAUGACAAGAGCUUAAUUUAUAAUAAUAAUAGCUUAAUAGUUAAUUGAUAAGCCAGACCCACUCCAGGUUCCUCUUUAGAUUUCAUGGUGUUUUAGCCUUCAAAAUACUUUUUAUUUUUUGGGUGGAGGAUGUACUGGGGAUUGAAUUUAGGGACACUCUACCAUGGAGCCACAUCCCCAGUCCUAUUUUGUAUUUUAUUUCAGAGACAUGGUCUCACUGAAUUGUGUAGUGCCUGUUUUUGCUGAGGCUAGCAUUGAACUCAUGUUCCUCCUGUCUCUUCCUCCUGAGCUGCUGGCAUUACAUGUGUGUGCCACCGCAUCUGGCUACCUUAAAAAUACUUUUAAAAAUAACCUAGACUAAGUCUUAUAUUGACAAAUGUAGUAUAUGCCUUUAUGUAUUUAUGUUCUUUUGAACAUCUCCUAAUAAAAUUUUAUAAUUUGUCUACAGAAGUGUUAAGUCUAUUAUUUGAUUAUUCAGGCAAUUUCAGUCUCUGAUACUAUUGUAAACAGUAUAUCCUGUUCAAUCCCAAUUCCUAAUCAUUUGCCACUAGAAUAUAAAACUUUAAUACCUCAAGCUUUUAUUCAGGAACCUUGACAAUUUCUAUAGGUAUUUCCAAUAAUCUUUCUGGAGAUUACAUUUUUUUUCAAAAUAUAAAUAGUUUGGGCUGGGGAUGUGGCUCAAGUGGUAGUGCACUCGCCUGGCAUGCAGGAGGCACUGGGUUUGAUCCUCAGCACCACAUUAAAAAAAUAAAAUAAAGAUAUUGGGUCCAUCUAAAAUUAAAAAAAGAUAUUUAAAAAAUAGUCAUCAUUUGAAAAUAAUGCAAGUUUAAGCUUUCUAUAUUUUAGUAUUCCAUUCUUCUACUUUCUUUUAUUCUCAUUAUAUUUUACUCAUGAGGAUCUCCAAUACAAAUUUGAUUAAACAUGGUGAUACC
RNAcentral lists this long non-coding RNA (10150 nucleotides) under Marmota monax (woodchuck). Lineage: Eukaryota; Metazoa; Chordata; Mammalia; Rodentia; Sciuridae. The record is from RNAcentral.